This is a non-coding RNA of Ramularia collo-cygni, 207 nucleotides long. NCBI's taxonomy places the organism in Eukaryota, Fungi, Ascomycota, Dothideomycetes, Mycosphaerellales, Mycosphaerellaceae. The record is from the annotation of a RefSeq genome assembly.
UCCGAUGUGGUCCAACGGUUAAGACGCCUCGCUCUCCCCAAAACACCGGCUGAAUAGGUCCAAGCAAAAUGAGAAAAUCGCAGGUUCAAAUCCUGUUCGCGUUUACGCGGUGGUCUAGCGGAUAAGGCAUCUCACUGAACGAUACAAGACCUGGUCGGUGUGAAAGUGGGAGAUGAGGAGAUUGGGGUUCGAUUCCUUGCAUUGGAA